Molecule: long non-coding RNA, 874 nt
Organism: Salmo salar (Atlantic salmon)
Lineage: Eukaryota; Metazoa; Chordata; Actinopteri; Salmoniformes; Salmonidae
Source: RefSeq, a predicted model, not a curated record
GGCCAACGCCCCAAGGCAAGCCACCAACAUUUCGUAAUUGAAAGCUUCGCAGUUAGUUAUUAUUAGUUGUUAGUAAAGUAAGCUAUUCUAUCUGUUGACAAUGAAAGUGAAGCCAACACAUUUUUUCACCAAUACAAUUUCAUUCACCUCUCUCGACUGGGUACAAAGUAGCCCAAUAAUGUACGGUUAAGGAGCCGGAACUCUAACUCUAUAAAGGCUAUGUUAAGAAGUUGUGCAGUGCUGACAUGGAACAAUGUGGAACAACUGUGCCAAGCUCAGUGAACAGCGCCAGAGCGCACCACAACCACAUCCGGAGAGGGAGGGUGAAGUCUGGGUGAAGGAAAUGAAAUUAAAAGGAGAUAAAAAAAAAGGAAUGUGCUCCCACAUCUGCACAGCAUGAGCAUGGACACAUUAUAGACCUAUUACUUAACAUAUGAAAUGUGUUAUAGUCUAACAAUUAUCAGACUGUAUUAGCACGUCUACAUCACUGAUAGCCUAGCCUACUGAUCCUUUCCUCACCUGACUUGACACCUAUGGCCAGGUGUGGUCCACGCUUUGCCUAGUAGCCAAUUUAGAAACUUGGUUGUGCGUCAACAGUUUUCCUCUUGUUAUAUCUCCUUCACUGACAGUCACUCAGUUAGCCCAUGUCAGUAAUUUUUGGGGGAUAAAUUUGUCAAUUUAGUCUAACUAAACCCGCUAUCUAAACAUGAAGUACCGACUGGGCACACAGGGCACCUGCUCAGGGGACCCACACUUAACAUGUCAUUGCAAAUUGUGUAGAAUUUCAUAAAAUGUGCUUUACAACUGCAACAAUAAACAUGUCAAGCAAAUGUAUGUGUUUACCAUUUGUUAAUAAAAUACUUUCCCCUCUGUA